This 425-nucleotide ribosomal RNA is filed under the name uncultured bacterium. RNAcentral's name for it is "bacterial SSU rRNA". It matches the Rfam family "Bacterial small subunit ribosomal RNA", at positions 354 to 796 of the family's 1533-position model. The record is from RNAcentral.
GUGGGGAAUCUUAGACAAUGGGCGCAAGCCUGAUCUAGCCAUGCCGCGUGUGUGAUGAAGGUCUUAGGAUCGUAAAGCACUUUCGCCAGGGAUGAUAAUGACAGUACCUGGUAAAGAAACCCCGGCUAACUCCGUGCCAGCAGCCGCGGUAAUACGGAGGGGGUUAGCGUUGUUCGGAAUUACUGGGCGUAAAGCGUACGUAGGCGGAUCAGAAAGUUAGGGGUGAAAUCCCGAGGCUCAACCUCGGAACUGCCUCUAAAACUCCUGGUCUUGAGUUCGAGAGAGGUGAGUGGAAUUCCAAGUGUAGAGGUGAAAUUCGUAGAUAUUUGGAGGAACACCAGUGGCGAAGGCGGCUCACUGGCUCGAUACUGACGCUGAGGUACGAAAGUGUGGGGAGCAAACAGGAUUAGAUACCCGUGUAGUCC